UACGUAGGCAGCGAGCGUUGUUCGGAAUUACUGGGCGUAAAGAGUGUGUAGGCGGUGCUCUAAGUUCGGUGUGAAAUCUCCUGGCUCAACUGGGAGGGUGCGCCGGAAACUGGAGUGCUUGAGCGUGGGAGAGGAAAGCGGAAUUCCUGGUGUAGCGGUGAAAUGCGUAGAUAUCGGGAGGAACACCUGUGGUGUAGACGGCUAUCUGGACGGCCACUGACGCUGAGACACGAAAGCGUGGGUAGCAAACAGG
Molecule: ribosomal RNA, 253 nt
Filed under: uncultured bacterium
Lineage: Bacteria
Description: partial 16S ribosomal RNA
Rfam family: Bacterial small subunit ribosomal RNA
Source: RNAcentral